Molecule: long non-coding RNA, 203 nt
Filed under: Vigna radiata
Lineage: Eukaryota; Viridiplantae; Streptophyta; Magnoliopsida; Fabales; Fabaceae
Description: long non-coding RNA (VRAD_LNC001278)
Source: RNAcentral
GCAAGGACAACUUACUCGCUAAAACCAAAAAUUAAUCAGAUGGAUAGAAAGCCCUCGACUUUGGGAACGUGGGGACACCAACUGAUCGACAAUGCAACAGUGAAAUGACGAUACAGGGUAGAGAGAAGGUAGAGAAGAGAAGAAAGAGCUUUGAAGAGUGAUGGUAGCUUUUCAGAUAAUUGGGAUGAGCUUUGAGUCUACGU